AAGAAUUUGGCGGUGUUUUAGUCUAUUUAGAGGAACCUGUCCUGUAAUCGAUAAUCCACGUUGGACCUUACUAAAAUUUGUUUUCAACUUGUAUAUCGCCGUUAUCAGAAUAUCUUAAAAGAGGAAUAAUUUUCUAAAUUUAAUAAUAUAAAUGAUGUCAGGUCAAGGUGCAGUUUAUAUUUUAGUAGAGAUGGGUUACAAUAAAUAUAUUUAUACGUUAAAUUGUUUGCAAUAAUGUUUUAAGGUGGAUUUAAAAGU
This 258-nucleotide ribosomal RNA is filed under the name Austrosimulium pestilens. RNAcentral's name for it is "partial ribosomal RNA small subunit". Lineage: Eukaryota; Metazoa; Arthropoda; Insecta; Diptera; Simuliidae. The record is from RNAcentral.